GACGAACGCUGGCGGCGUGCCUAAUACAUGCAAGUAGAACGCACAGUUUAUACCGUAGCUUGCUACACCAUAGACUGUGAGUUGCGAACGGGUGAGUAACGCGUAGGUAACCUGCCUGGCAGCGGGGGAUAACUAUUGGAAACGAUAGCUAAUACCGCAUAAUAUUAAUUAUUGCAUGCUAAUUAAUUGAAAGGUGCAAUUGCACCACUACCAGAUGGACCUGCGUUGUAUUAGCUAGUAGGUGAGGUAACGGCGCACCUAGGCGACGAUACAUAGCCGACCUGAGAGGGUGAUCAGCCACACUGAGACUAGGACACGGCCCAGACUCCUACGGGAGGCAGCAGUAGGGAAUCUUCGGCAAUGGACGAAAGUCUGAGCGAGCAACGCCGCGUGAGUGAAGAAGGUUGUCGGAUCGUAAAGCUCUGUUGUAAGAGAAGAACGGGGGUGAGAGUGGAAAGUUCACACUGUGACGGUAUCUUACCAGAAAGGGACGGCUAACUACGUG
This 505-nucleotide ribosomal RNA is filed under the name uncultured bacterium. RNAcentral's name for it is "partial 16S ribosomal RNA". It matches the Rfam family "Bacterial small subunit ribosomal RNA", at positions 28 to 507 of the family's 1533-position model. The record is from RNAcentral.